RNAcentral lists this ribosomal RNA (468 nucleotides) under uncultured bacterium. Its description in RNAcentral is "partial 16S ribosomal RNA". It matches the Rfam family "Bacterial small subunit ribosomal RNA", at positions 28 to 507 of the family's 1533-position model. The record is from RNAcentral.
GACGAACGCUGGCGGCGUGCUUAACACAUGCAAGUCGAACGGAAAGGCCCUGCUUUUGUGGGGUGCUCGAGAGGCGAACGGGUGAGUAACACGUGAGUAACCUGCCCUUGACUUUGGGAUAACUUCAGGAAACUGGGGCUAAUACCGGAUAGGAGCUCCUGCUGCAUGGUGGGGGUUGGAAAGUUUCGGCGGUUGGGGAUGGACUCGCGGCUUGUCAGCUUGUUGGUGGGGUAGUGGCUUACCAAGGCUUUGACGGGUAGCCGGCCUGAGAGGGUGACCGGCCACAUUGGGACUGAGAUACGGCCCAGACACCAACGGGAGGCAGAAGUGGGGAAUAAUGCACAAUGGGCGGAAGCCUGAUGCAGCAACGCCGCGUGCGGGAUGACGGCCUUCGGGUUGUAAACCGCUUUCGCCUGUGACGAAGCGUGAGUGACGGUAAUGGGUAAAGAAGCACCGGAUAACUACGUG